Molecule: ribosomal RNA, 623 nt
Filed under: Salmonella enterica
Lineage: Bacteria; Pseudomonadati; Pseudomonadota; Gammaproteobacteria; Enterobacterales; Enterobacteriaceae
Also listed under: 1 other name
Description: partial 23S ribosomal RNA
Rfam family: Bacterial large subunit ribosomal RNA
Source: RNAcentral
GGGUUGUGAGGUUAAGCGACCAAGCGUACACGGUGGAUGCCCUGGCAGUCAGAGGCGAUGAAGGACGUGCUAAUCUGCGAAAAGCGCCGGUAAGGUGAUAUGAACCGUUAUAACCGGCGAUGUCCGAAUGGGGAAACCCAGUGUGACUCGUCACACUAUCAUUAACUGAAUCCAUAGGUUAAUGAGGCGAACCGGGGGAACUGAAACAUCUAAGUACCCCGAGGAAAAGAAAUCAACCGAGAUUCCCCCAGUAGCGGCGAGCGAACGGGGAGGAGCCCAGAGCCUGAAUCAGUAUGUGUGUUAGUGGAAGCGUCUGGAAAGGCGCGCGAUACAGGGUGACAGCCCCGUACACAAAAGCGCAUGUGCUGUGAGCUCGAUGAGUAGGGCGGGACACGUGGUAUCCUGUCUGAAUAUGGGGGGACCAUCCUCCAAGGCUAAAUACUCCUGACUGACCGAUAGUGAACCAGUACCGUGAGGGAAAGGCGAAAAGAACCCCGGCGAGGGGAGUGAAACAGAACCUGAAACCGUGUACGUACAAGCAGUGGGAGCAUGAGUUUACUCAUGUGACUGCGUACCUUUUGUAUAAUGGGUCAGCGACUUAUAUUCUGUAGCAAGGUUAACCG